UAAGGCGAAGAUAAAAACACAGUCCGGUUGGUAGUCCGGACCGGCCACUGGCAGAAGUAACCUUCCCUCCUCGGGUCGUCCGUUCUUCGUUUGUAAAAU
RNAcentral lists this non-coding RNA (99 nucleotides) under Peptoclostridium litorale. Its description in RNAcentral is "Clostridium litorale Azaaromatic sequence". It matches the Rfam family "azaaromatic riboswitch aptamer (yjdF RNA)". Lineage: Bacteria; Bacillati; Bacillota; Clostridia; Peptostreptococcales; Peptoclostridiaceae. The record is from RNAcentral. RNAcentral also lists the same sequence under 1 other name.